AUGAAGAGGGGUCAAGUACCUUUAGCGCAAAUACGGAAACCAGCCGCAGCAAAUGCUAGUCAGAUACCGUACAUUCUAGGCCAAAAACCUAACCAAGGGAUCAAGAAAGGUAAGACCUACACCAACAGAGCGAGCGAGUCUUCCAGUGAAGCAAGAGUAUACACAGUAGGUUCCAUUGGAGAAGGAGCUCACAAGCCGAGUCUCUCCGCGGAAGCCGUGGGAAUUUCCUUUUUUACAAGUUUGGAAAGAAAGUUGGGACAGAGGCUUCCUUUCCUAAUUCCAAUCGUGACAUCG
Vicia faba (fava bean) is the source of this 294-nucleotide non-coding RNA. NCBI's taxonomy places the organism in Eukaryota, Viridiplantae, Streptophyta, Magnoliopsida, Fabales, Fabaceae. The record is from the annotation of a GenBank genome assembly.